UAAGGAAUAUUGGUCAAUGGACGCAAGUCUGAACCAGCCAUGCCGCGUGAAGGAUGAAGGUCCUCUGGAUUGUAAACUUCUUUUAUCUGGGACGAAAACGGGAUUUUUAUCCCAAUUGACGGUACCAGAGGAAUAAGCACCGGCUAACUCCGUGCCAGCAGCCGCGGUAAUACGGAGGGUGCGAGCGUUAUCCGGAUUUACUGGGUUUAAAGGGCGCGUAGGUGGGCUUAUAAGUCAGUGGUGAAAUCUCCGAGCUUAACUUGGAAACUGCCGUUGAUACUAUAGGUCUUGAAUUAUCUGGAGGUAAGCGGAAUAUGUCAUGUAGCGGUGAAAUGCUUAGAUAUGAAAUAGAACACCAAUUGCGAAGGCAGCUUACUACAUAUAAAUUGACGCUGAGGCACGAAAGCGUGGGGAUCAAACA
This 421-nucleotide ribosomal RNA is filed under the name uncultured bacterium. Its description in RNAcentral is "bacterial SSU rRNA". It matches the Rfam family "Bacterial small subunit ribosomal RNA", at positions 355 to 774 of the family's 1533-position model. The record is from RNAcentral.